Molecule: long non-coding RNA, 432 nt
Organism: Trachemys scripta elegans
Lineage: Eukaryota; Metazoa; Chordata; Testudines; Emydidae
Exons: 3
Source: RefSeq, a predicted model, not a curated record
CUUUAUCUCUACAGAUUCUGGAAGUAACAUCCUGAAUGGUGGCCUCUGUGACAACUGAUUGAAGUGCUUUUGUGCAUGGACUCAAGAUCAGAGUAGAAUUAUCAAAGUUCUGAAGAAAGACUGCUCUCCUGGAAUUUCUGGCGUGACAGAAAGCAGGAAGCUUCAGAAAACAUUUUAAGACAACUUGUUACUGCAAAGUUUCCACUCCAGCUUGGCAGACCUCAGAAUAUUCAGAUAAACAUCCCAGUUGGACCUCUGACCCUUUUAAGAUCACCUUUCAUCUGAGAAUCUAAAAGUACUUUGGAAAUAUUCAUUAAGCCUUAAAUAUUGACUGCAAGGUAGGUAAAGUAAACCUCAUCAAAUGCCUCUAAGGCAUCAUUUUGCAUAUGGGCAAACUGAGCUACAGAAAGGUUAUUAGAUGCCUAAUGUCAC